CCAAGGCGAGGAUGCCAACAGGAUAACGACUUAGGGAUAAGGGUCAGGAGCGCCAGGAGGCGAAGACUCAGGAAGACGACCAGGAUGGUUAGCGCCAGGAGGCGUUCAAAAAAGGAAAUGGACCCUAUUAAGGAUGAUAUUCGCUAAGGGAUAAACAGGGUGAGUUGUUAGCAAACAGGGAUUGAAUAACCCGUUAAGGGUUGAGAGUCAGGAAAAAAGGCGACAGAUUGCUCUGUCGCCUUUUUUCUUUGCUUGCUU
Molecule: small RNA, 258 nt
Filed under: Lelliottia nimipressuralis
Lineage: Bacteria; Pseudomonadati; Pseudomonadota; Gammaproteobacteria; Enterobacterales; Enterobacteriaceae
Source: RNAcentral